UGGGGAAUAUUGCACAAUGGGGGAAACCCUGAUGCAGCGACGCCGCGUGGAGGAAGAAGGUCUUCGGAUUGUAAACUCCUGUUGUUGAGGAAGAUAAUGACGGUACUCAACAAGGAAGUGACGGCUAACUACGUGCCAGCAGCCGCGGUAAAACGUAGGUCACAAGCGUUGUCCGGAAUUACUGGGUGUAAAGGGAGCGCAGGCGGGAGAACAAGUUGGAAGUGAAAUCCAUGGGCUCAACCCAUGAACUGCUUUCAAAACUGUUUUUCUUGAGUAGUGCAGAGGUAGGCGGAAUUCCCGGUGUAGCGGUGGAAUGCGUAGAUAUCGGGAGGAACACCAGUGGCGAAGGCGGCCUACUGGGCACCAACUGACGCUGAGGCUCGAAAGUGUGGGUAGCAAACAGGAUUAGAUACCCUGGUAGUCCACACCGUAAACGAUGAUUACUAGGUGUUGGAGGAUUGACCCCUUCAGUGCCGCAGUUAACACAAUAAGUAAUCCACCUGGGGAGUACGACCGCAAGGUUGAAACUCAAAGGAAUUGACGGGGGCCCGCACAAGCAGUGGAGUAUGUGGUUUAAUUCGACGCAACGCGAAGAACCUUACCAAGUCUUGACAUCCUGCGACGCACAUAGAAAUAUGUGUUUCCUUCGGGACGCAGAGACAGGUGGUGCAUGGUUGUCGUCAGCUCGUGUCGUGAGAUGUUGGGUUAAGUCCCGCAACGAGCGCAACCCUUAUGGUCAGUUACUACGCAAGAGGACUCUGGCCAGACUGCCGUUGACAAAACGGAGGAAGGUGGGGAUGACGUCAAAUCAUCAUGCCCUUUAUGACUUGGGCUACACACGUACUACAAUGGCGUUAAACAAAGAGAAGCAAGACCGCGAGGUGGAGCAAAACUCAGAAACAACGUCCCAGUUCGGACUGCAGGCUGCAACUCGCCUGCACGAAGUCGGAAUUGCUAGUAAUCGCAGAUCAGCAUGCUGCGGUGAAUACGUUCCC
RNAcentral lists this ribosomal RNA (995 nucleotides) under uncultured bacterium. RNAcentral describes it as "bacterial SSU rRNA". It matches the Rfam family "Bacterial small subunit ribosomal RNA", at positions 355 to 1375 of the family's 1533-position model. The record is from RNAcentral.